GGGGUUGUAGCUCAGUGGGAGAGCACUUGCCUAGCAGGUAAGUCUGUGAGGCACUGGGUUCAAUUCUCAGCACUGUCU
This 78-nucleotide transfer RNA is filed under the name Ictidomys tridecemlineatus (thirteen-lined ground squirrel). RNAcentral's name for it is "Spermophilus tridecemlineatus (thirteen-lined ground squirrel) tRNA". It matches the Rfam family "tRNA". Rfam says of the family: Transfer RNA (tRNA) molecules are approximately 80 nucleotides in length. The record is from Rfam by way of RNAcentral. Lineage: Eukaryota; Metazoa; Chordata; Mammalia; Rodentia; Sciuridae.